AGAAAAGCUUAGACAUUCAUAGGAAUAAGACCUCCAGCUAUUUAUGGGUUGAUUACAAGCUCAGUAUGAUUCAAUUGAUGAUUAGAUAGUAGACAUCACCUGUUACGAUUGGAGCCCUGUGGCCAAGAGGACGCCUGUGAACUAUUUCACCUGAUUAGGCCACGCUGGGAUUUUUUGCUUGGGUGAGAGGUCGUGCUUCCCCAGGACACGGGCAGCAGCCUGGAGAGAGGAGUCUCAGAGGGUAACCCUGCUCUUCUCAAAUAUGGAAAGCUCCUAUGUGGAAGGGCAGUGAGUGGGAUUUAUCUUUUUCUGGGGAUUCCAGAUGGCAGAAAAUUAGGCCCACACUGCUGAGCGGGAUUUGAGUGUGAGAAUCCAAGUACAGAAGCUGAAUUUGGGAAAAUAGUCUUGCUAAAGAAAGUGGCAGAUUUUCCCAAUUCCACAUUUUGGAAGUAUCAAGAGCUGUUUCAUGAGAUAAGCUGGCGAGAGGAAAUAGACUACUCUGGUAGGAAACUAGAGCAGGUGGGCAGGAGUGACUUUCCU
This 540-nucleotide long non-coding RNA is filed under the name Homo sapiens (human). RNAcentral's name for it is "novel transcript". The record is from RNAcentral. Lineage: Eukaryota; Metazoa; Chordata; Mammalia; Primates; Hominidae.